Molecule: non-coding RNA, 83 nt
Organism: Postia placenta MAD-698-R-SB12
Lineage: Eukaryota; Fungi; Basidiomycota; Agaricomycetes; Polyporales; Adustoporiaceae
Source: the annotation of a RefSeq genome assembly
GAACCCGUGGCGCAGCGGUAGCGCGUGAGAUUCCAGCUCAUGGGAAAUCCUCAAGGUCAUCCGUUCAAUCCGGGUCGGGUUCA